RNAcentral lists this ribosomal RNA (455 nucleotides) under uncultured bacterium. RNAcentral describes it as "bacterial SSU rRNA". It matches the Rfam family "Bacterial small subunit ribosomal RNA", at positions 100 to 565 of the family's 1533-position model. The record is from RNAcentral.
GGACGGGUGAGUAACGCGUGGGUAACCUACCCCAAAGUCCGGGAUAACAGCGGGAAACCGCUGCUAAUACCGGAUGUCUUUACCUUGGGGCAUCUUGAGGUAAAGAAAGGUAACGCUUUGGGAUGGGCCCGCGUCCCAUUAGCUAGUUGGUGAGGUAACGGCUCACCAAGGCGACGAUGGGUAGCCGGCCUGAGAGGGUGGACGGCCACACUGGGACUGAGACACGGCCCAGACUCCUACGGGAGGCAGCAGUAGGGAAUAUUGCGCAAUGGACGGAAGUCUGACGCAGCGACGCCGCGUGAGCGAUGAAGGUCUUCGGAUCGUAAAGCUCUGUCCUUGGGGAAGAAGGUCUUCGGACUUGACGGUACCCAAGAAGAAAGCCCCGGCUAACUACGUGCCAGCAGCCGCGGAAAUACGUAGGGGGCGAGCGUUGUCCGGAAUUACUGGGCGUAUAG